AUACGUAGGUGGCAAGCGUUGUCCGGAAUCACUGGGCGUAAAGGGCGCGUAGGCGGUCUGUUAAGUCGGGUGUGAAAUCUUUAGGCUCAACCUAAAGUUUGCAUUCGAUACUGGCAGACUUGAGUGCAGGAGAGGGCAGUGGAAUUCCUAGUGUAGCGGUGAAAUGCGUAGAUAUUAGGAGGAACACCAGUGGCGAAGGCGGCUGCCUGGACUGUAACUGACGCUGAGGCGCGAAAGCGUGGGGAGC
This 247-nucleotide ribosomal RNA is filed under the name uncultured bacterium. RNAcentral describes it as "partial 16S ribosomal RNA". It matches the Rfam family "Bacterial small subunit ribosomal RNA", at positions 523 to 769 of the family's 1533-position model. The record is from RNAcentral.